AUUUAUAUAAUAUAAUUAGUAUAUUUGACUUCCAAUCAAAAAGUUUAAUAUUUUUAAUAUAAAUA
Molecule: transfer RNA, 65 nt
Filed under: Diaethria gabaza eupepla
Lineage: Eukaryota; Metazoa; Arthropoda; Insecta; Lepidoptera; Nymphalidae
Description: tRNA-Gly
Source: RNAcentral